GAUGAACGCUGGCGGCGUGCCUAAUACAUGCAAGUCGAGCGAACAGACGAGGAGCUUGCUCCUCUGACGUUAGCGGCGGACGGGUGAGUAACACGUGGAUAACCUACCUAUAAGACUGGGAUAACUUCGGGAAACCGGAGCUAAUACCGGAUAAUAUAUUGAACCGCAUGGUUCAAUAGUGAAAGACGGUUUUGCUGUCACUUAUAGAUGGAUCCGCGCCGCAUUAGCUAGUUGGUAAGGUAACGGCUUACCAAGGCAACGAUGCGUAGCCAACCUGAGAGGGGGAUCGGCCACACUGGAACUGAGACACGGUCCAGACUCCUACGGGAGGCAGCAGUAGGGAAUCUUCCGCAAUGGGCGAAAGCCUGACGGAGCAACGCCGCGUGAGUGAUGAAGGUCUUCGGAUCGUAAAACUCUGUUAUUAGGGAAGAACAAAUGUGUAAGUAACUAUGCACGUCUUGACGGUACCUAAUCAGAAAGCCACGGCUAACUACGU
This 496-nucleotide ribosomal RNA is filed under the name uncultured bacterium. RNAcentral's name for it is "partial 16S ribosomal RNA". It matches the Rfam family "Bacterial small subunit ribosomal RNA", at positions 28 to 506 of the family's 1533-position model. The record is from RNAcentral.